CCUACGGGUGGCUGCAGUGGGGAAUUUUGGACAAUGGGGGCAACCCUGAUCCAGCCAUGCCGCGUGCGGGAAGAAGGCCUUCGGGUUGUAAACCGCUUUUGUCAGGAGAGAAAUCUCUUGGGCUAAUACCCUGAGAGGAUGACGGUACCUGAAGAAUAAGCACCGGCUAACUACGUGCCGGCAGCCGCGGUAAUACGUAGGGUGCAUGCUUUGAGCGGAGUGACUGGGGGCGAAGCGGCAAGAGGGGGUUGAAAUCCCCGGGCUUAACCUGGGAACUGCACUUGUGACUGCACGGCUAGAGUACGGCAGAGGGGGAUGGAAUACCGCGUGUAGCAGUGAAAUGCGUAGAUAUGCGGAGGAACACCGAUGGCGAAGGCAGUCCCCUGGGCCUGUACUGACGCUCAUGCACGAAAGCGUGGGGAGCAAACAGGAUUAGAUACCCUAGUAGUC
RNAcentral lists this ribosomal RNA (450 nucleotides) under uncultured bacterium. RNAcentral describes it as "partial 16S ribosomal RNA". It matches the Rfam family "Bacterial small subunit ribosomal RNA", at positions 338 to 795 of the family's 1533-position model. The record is from RNAcentral.